AUGGCUGCUCCACCUGCGAGGGCUCGAGCCGAUUACGAUUACCUCAUAAAGCUUCUAUUGAUCGGCGACAGUGGGGUGGGCAAGAGUUGCCUUCUUUUACGUUUCUCAGAUGGUUCCUUCACUACUAGUUUUAUCACCACCAUUGGUAUUGAUUUCAAGAUAAGAACUAUUGAGCUUGAUGGCAAAAGAAUUAAGCUUCAAAUUUGGGAUACCGCUGGUCAGGAACGGUUCCGAACAAUUACAACAGCUUACUAUCGUGGAGCAAUGGGUAUUUUGCUAGUUUAUGAUGUUACUGAUGAAUCAUCUUUCAACAACAUCAGGAAUUGGAUUCGCAAUAUUGAACAGCAUGCUUCUGAUAAUGUUAACAAGAUAUUGGUGGGGAACAAGGCUGACAUGGAUGAAAGUAAAAGGGCUGUCCCAACAUCCAAGGGCCAAGCACUUGCUGAUGAGUACGGGAUCAAGUUCUUUGAAACUAGUGCAAAGACAAAUCUAAAUGUUGAGGAAGUUUUCUUUUCCAUAGCAAGGGAUAUAAAGCAAAGACUUGCUGAUACGGACUCAAAGGCUGAGCCUACAACAAUUAAGAUCAAUCAACCAGACCAGGCUGGUGGGGCUGGUCAAGCUGGCCAAAAAUCAGCUUGCUGCGGAUCUUAGAACAAAUUAUUUUUUAGUAGGGCAUUAAUUGCAGGUAACACUUUUGUCUGAAUAAGGAGGGAAUGUAUUUAACAAAAAAAAAAGAGAGAAAAACUAAUUCUGA
Molecule: unclassified non-coding RNA, 754 nt
Filed under: Hevea brasiliensis (rubber tree)
Lineage: Eukaryota; Viridiplantae; Streptophyta; Magnoliopsida; Malpighiales; Euphorbiaceae
Source: RNAcentral